GUGCUCGCUUCGGCAGCACAUAUACUAAAAUUGGAAAGAUACAGAGAAGUUUAGCAUGAACCCUGUGCAAGGAUGACACACAAAUUCGUACAGCGUUCAAUAUUUUU
Small nuclear RNA from Rattus norvegicus (Norway rat), 107 nucleotides. NCBI's taxonomy places the organism in Eukaryota, Metazoa, Chordata, Mammalia, Rodentia, Muridae. The record is from Ensembl.